This 72-nucleotide transfer RNA is filed under the name Bos taurus (domestic cattle). It matches the Rfam family "tRNA". Rfam says of the family: Transfer RNA (tRNA) molecules are approximately 80 nucleotides in length. Their secondary structure includes four short double-helical elements and three loops (D, anti-codon, and T loops). Lineage: Eukaryota; Metazoa; Chordata; Mammalia; Artiodactyla; Bovidae. The record is from Rfam by way of RNAcentral. RNAcentral also lists the same sequence under 5 other names.
UCCCUGGUGGUUCAGUGAUUAGGACUCAGGGCUUUCACUACUGGGGCCCAGGUUCAAUCCCUGGUCAGGGAA